RNAcentral lists this non-coding RNA (126 nucleotides) under Thermanaerothrix daxensis. Its description in RNAcentral is "SAM-I sequence". It matches the Rfam family "SAM riboswitch aptamer (S box leader)". From Rfam's summary of the family: The SAM riboswitch is found upstream of a number of genes which code for proteins involved in methionine or cysteine biosynthesis in Gram-positive bacteria. Lineage: Bacteria; Bacillati; Chloroflexota; Anaerolineae; Anaerolineales; Anaerolineaceae. The record is from Rfam by way of RNAcentral.
CUCUUAUCCAGAGAGGCGGAGGGACCGGCCCGAUGAAGCCUCGACAACCUGGAUGCGCGUGAAGUGGGCGCACGGGCAUCCAAGGUGCCAAGUCCGGCAGAAAGUUCAAUUUCUGGAAGAUAAGAG